Molecule: ribosomal RNA, 404 nt
Filed under: uncultured Sphingobacteriales bacterium
Lineage: Bacteria; Pseudomonadati; Bacteroidota; Sphingobacteriia; Sphingobacteriales
Description: bacterial SSU rRNA
Rfam family: Bacterial small subunit ribosomal RNA
Source: RNAcentral
GGGCUUAAAUGUAGAGUGCAUUUUUUAGAGAUAGAAAUUCCCUUCGGGGCUUUCUGCAAGGUGCUGCAUGGUUGUCGUCAGCUCGUGCCGUGAGGUGUCGGGUUAAGUCCCAUAACGAGCGCAACCCUUAUCGUUAGUUGCCAUCUGGUAAUGCAGGGGACUCUAGCGAAACUGCCACCGUAAGGUGAGAGGAAGUGGGGAUGACGUCAAAUCAGCACGGCCCUUAUGUCCAGGGCUACACACGUGUUACAAUGGUCGGUACAGAGGGCAGCUACCUGGUGACAGGAUGCUAAUCUCGAAAACCGGUCUCAGUUCGGAUCGAAGUCUGCAACUCGACUUCGUGAAGCUGGAUUCGCUAGUAAUCGCGCAUCAGCCAUGGCGCGGUGAAUACGUUCCCGGGCCUU